GACGAACGCUGGCGGCGUGCUUAACACAUGCAAGUCGAACGAAGAGCGAUGGAAGCUUGCUUCUAUCAAUCUUAGUGGCGAACGGGUGAGUAACGCGUAAUCAACCUGCCCUUCAGAGGGGGACAACAGUUGGAAACGACUGCUAAUACCGCAUACGAUCUAAUCUCGGCAUCGAGGAUAGAUAAAAGGUGGCCUCUACAUGUAAGCUAUCACUGAAGGAGGGGAUUGCGUCUGAUUAGCUAGUUGGAGGGGUAACGGCCCACCAAGGCGAUGAUCAGUAGCCGGUCUGAGAGGAUGAACGGCCACAUUGGGACUGAGACACGGCCCAGACUCCUACGGGAGGCAGCAGUGGGGAAUCUUCCGCAAUGGACGAAAGUCUGACGGAGCAACGCCGCGUGAGUGAUGACGGCCUUCGGGUUGUAAAGCUCUGUUAAUCGGGACGAAAGGCCUUCUUGCGAAUAGUGAGAAGGAUUGACGGUACCGGAAUAGAAAGCCACGGCUAACUACGUG
RNAcentral lists this ribosomal RNA (510 nucleotides) under uncultured bacterium. RNAcentral's name for it is "partial 16S ribosomal RNA". It matches the Rfam family "Bacterial small subunit ribosomal RNA", at positions 28 to 507 of the family's 1533-position model. The record is from RNAcentral.